RNAcentral lists this ribosomal RNA (2527 nucleotides) under Vibrio parahaemolyticus. RNAcentral's name for it is "partial 23S ribosomal RNA". It matches the Rfam family "Bacterial large subunit ribosomal RNA", at positions 416 to 2925 of the family's 2925-position model. The record is from RNAcentral. Lineage: Bacteria; Pseudomonadati; Pseudomonadota; Gammaproteobacteria; Vibrionales; Vibrionaceae.
GGCGGGACACGUGAUAUCCUGUCUGAAUAUGGGGGGACCAUCCUCCAAGGCUAAAUACUACUGACUGACCGAUAGUGAACCAGUACCGUGAGGGAAAGGCGAAAAGAACCCCUGUGAGGGGAGUGAAAUAGAACCUGAAACCGUGUACGUACAAGCAGUAGGAGCAGGCUUUGUCCUGUGACUGCGUACCUUUUGUAUAAUGGGUCAGCGACUUAUAUUCAGUGGCAAGGUUAACCAUCUAGGGGAGCCGUAGGGAAACCGAGUCUUAACUGGGCGUUCAGUCUCUGGAUAUAGACCCGAAACCAGGUGAUCUAGCCAUGGGCAGGUUGAAGGUUGAGUAACAUCAACUGGAGGACCGAACCGACUAAUGUUGAAAAAUUAGCGGAUGACUUGUGGCUAGGGGUGAAAGGCCAAUCAAACCUGGAGAUAGCUGGUUCUCCCCGAAAGCUAUUUAGGUAGCGCCUCGGACGAAUACUACUGGGGGUAGAGCACUGUUAAGGCUAGGGGGUCAUCCCGACUUACCAACCCUUUGCAAACUCCGAAUACCAGUAAGUACUAUCCGGGAGACACACGGCGGGUGCUAACGUCCGUCGUGGAGAGGGAAACAACCCAGACCGCCAGCUAAGGUCCCAAAUUACUACUAAGUGGGAAACGAUGUGGGAAGGCUCAGACAGCCAGGAUGUUGGCUUAGAAGCAGCCAUCAUUUAAAGAAAGCGUAAUAGCUCACUGGUCGAGUCGGCCUGCGCGGAAGAUGUAACGGGGCUAAGUAGUAAACCGAAGCUGCGGCAAUAUACUUUUGUAUAUUGGGUAGGGGAGCGUUCUGUAAGCGGUUGAAGGUGUGUGGUAACGCAUGCUGGACGUAUCAGAAGUGCGAAUGCUGACAUGAGUAACGAUAAAGGGGGUGAAAAACCUCCUCGCCGGAAGACCAAGGGUUCCUGUCCAACGUUAAUCGGGGCAGGGUAAGUCGACCCCUAAGGCGAGGCCGAAAGGCGUAGUCGAUGGGAAACGGGUUAAUAUUCCCGUACUUCUUACAAUUGCGAUGGGGGGACGGAGAAGGCUAGGUGGGCCUGGCGACGGUUGUCCAGGUUCAAGUGCGUAGGCUUAAGAGUUAGGUAAAUCCGGCUCUUUUUAAGGCUGAGACACGACGUCGAGCACCUACGGGUGUGAAGUCAUUGAUGCCAUGCUUCCAGGAAAAGCCUCUAAGCUUCAGAUUGUAAGGAAUCGUACCCCAAACCGACACAGGUGGUCGGGUAGAGAAUACCAAGGCGCUUGAGAGAACUCGGGUGAAGGAACUAGGCAAAAUGGUACCGUAACUUCGGGAGAAGGUACGCUCUCGACGGUGAAGUCCCUUGCGGAUGGAGCUAUUGAGAGUCGCAGAUACCAGGUGGCUGCAACUGUUUAUUAAAAACACAGCACUGUGCAAAAUCGUAAGAUGACGUAUACGGUGUGACGCCUGCCCGGUGCCGGAAGGUUAAUUGAUGGGGUUAGACUUCGGUCGAAGCUCUUGAUCGAAGCCCCGGUAAACGGCGGCCGUAACUAUAACGGUCCUAAGGUAGCGAAAUUCCUUGUCGGGUAAGUUCCGACCUGCACGAAUGGCGUAAUGAUGGCCACGCUGUCUCCACCCGAGACUCAGUGAAAUUGAAAUCGCUGUGAAGAUGCAGUGUACCCGCGGCUAGACGGAAAGACCCCGUGAACCUUUACUACAGCUUGGCACUGAACAUUGACCCUACAUGUGUAGGAUAGGUGGGAGGCUUUGAAGCACGUACGCCAGUAUGUGUGGAGCCGUCCUUGAAAUACCACCCUUGUAGUGUUGAUGUUCUAACGUCGACCCCUAAUCGGGGUUGCGGACAGUGCCUGGUGGGUAGUUUGACUGGGGCGGUCUCCUCCCAAAGAGUAACGGAGGAGCACGAAGGUGGGCUAAUCACGGUUGGACAUCGUGAGGUUAGUGCAAUGGCAUAAGCCCGCUUGACUGCGAGAAUGACAAUUCGAGCAGGUGCGAAAGCAGGUCAUAGUGAUCCGGUGGUUCUGAAUGGAAGGGCCAUCGCUCAACGGAUAAAAGGUACUCCGGGGAUAACAGGCUGAUACCGCCCAAGAGUUCAUAUCGACGGCGGUGUUUGGCACCUCGAUGUCGGCUCAUCACAUCCUGGGGCUGAAGUCGGUCCCAAGGGUAUGGCUGUUCGCCAUUUAAAGUGGUACGCGAGCUGGGUUUAGAACGUCGUGAGACAGUUCGGUCCCUAUCUGCCGUGGGCGUUGGAAGAUUGAAGGGGGCUGCUCCUAGUACGAGAGGACCGGAGUGGACGAACCUCUGGUGUUCGGGUUGUGUCGCCAGACGCAUUGCCCGGUAGCUAAGUUCGGAAUCGAUAACCGCUGAAAGCAUCUAAGCGGGAAGCGAGCCCUGAGAUGAGUCUUCCCUGAUACUUUAAGUAUCCUAAAGGGUUGUCGGAGACUACGACGUUGAUAGGUCAGGUGUGUAAGUGCUGUGAGGCAUUGAGCUAACUGAUACUAAUUGCCCGUGAGGCUUAACCAU